Molecule: long non-coding RNA, 1645 nt
Organism: Cebus imitator (Panamanian white-faced capuchin)
Lineage: Eukaryota; Metazoa; Chordata; Mammalia; Primates; Cebidae
Exons: 3
Source: RefSeq, a predicted model, not a curated record
GGGAAGCUGGAGCCACGGUCGCAGCGAGGGCGAGCAGCCGCGCGCUCCCGGUGCUGGGAGAAAUGCCCGCAGAACCAAGGCGAUCAGACGCGAGGAGGCUUGAGCACAUGGUUGGGACCAAGGGGAGUUUUACAGUUUGAGUUGGAUGUACCAUUCUACCUCUGAUUUGGACCCUGGCAGCCCCUCUGUCUCCUGAAAAAAACCCCUCACGCCUUUUCUUCCAGACUUGGUCAGGCACUGUGCUGGGAAUGGGGCAAAAAGAAUGAAUUCAAUACAGACCCGACUGCGUGGCUGAAUCGCACAGAUGCUGCGCCGUGCAAAUGAAAACAGACACGCAAGACCGUGCUCUAACUCAGUCCGUCCCGAUGGAACCCCACAGCCACCAACACCCAGCUCUGGCGUCAGGAGGGAUCAGUGGUUGCCUCAGAUGGGGUGUGAGGGCAUUGACCUGGAAGGGGCGCAGAGGAGCUUUCUGGGGUGAUGGGGCUGUUCUAUAUUUUGAUGGCAGCUGUGGCCACAUGAGUAUAAUCCAUGGGUGAACAUUUCUUGAAACACAUCAAAAUACACACUUAAAUGGUUGCACCUCAGUGCAUGCAAAUUAAGCCUCGAUAAAUUAUUGCGUGGACUAAAUUUUUAACAAUAGGGGGAAAAACUUGUCCCCGAGGAACUGAAAUCUUGUGAAGUCAUGGAAAGGGCAUUUUAGUUGGAGGAGCAGCCUGCACCUAUUCCACCAUCAGGCAUUCAUUACAUACCUGCUAUGUCCCAGGUCCUGAGGACAGAGACAGCAAUGGAGAAGGAACACCUCCCCUUCCAGAACAGCUUCCCACCCAGUGGAAGAGAAUGGCCCGCGAUGCGUGAAUUGUACACCAGAGGGACAGCAUGAGCAAGGGGACAGAGGACUGUACAUGCCCAGGCUUCGAGAGGAGAGGGUGCCCUGGUGGGUUACAGCACAGGGUUUACCAGGGCAGGGCGUGGAGGGUGGUGGGACCAGGUCUUGCAAAAGUGUGUGUGCUGGUUGAAGGAUCUGGGUAUUCACCCUGAAGCCAAGAGAGGAGAGCAACUUCAGCAUGAAUCUGGGGAGGGAGGAGAGUGACACACGCAGAGCCUUGGUUUAGAAAAACUGUCCCGACGUUUCUACCCUGGGAUCUCUGGCUGGUUGUAACCACACCCUCUGUCAACAGAGGGCAGGAGCAUUAAACAGGAGAUGGGGACACCAGCCAGGAGGCUGUUGCGUGGUGAAAAAUUGGUCCCCCAGGGCUGGGUCCAGACUGUGACAUGCCUUGUUUGAUGGCCAAUGCAUAAACAGACAGAAUGUCAUGUAGCCAUACAAUAGAAUAUUAUUUACUACCACCAACAAAAAGAUACAAAGCUCUGAUAUAGGCCAAACCAAAGAUAACCCCCAAAACAGUACACUAAGUGAAAGAAGCCAGUCACAAAAGACCAUGUAUGGUAUUAUUUCAUUUAUAUAAAAUGUCCAGAAUAGGCAAAUCUAUUUUGUAGAGUAGUAAUUGUCUAGGCUGGGGGGGAUGGGAGUAGAAUGAGGGAUGACCACUAAGGGGAGCACUGUUUCUUACUGGGAUGAUGUAAAUGUUCUCAAAAUUAGAUUCUGGUGACGUUUGCACAACUCUGUUCUGUAUGCAUUUAA